RNAcentral lists this ribosomal RNA (2089 nucleotides) under Aspergillus niger. Its description in RNAcentral is "eukaryotic LSU rRNA". The stretch from base 309 to 2089 matches the Rfam family "Eukaryotic large subunit ribosomal RNA", at positions 1 to 1908 of the family's 3401-position model. Lineage: Eukaryota; Fungi; Ascomycota; Eurotiomycetes; Eurotiales; Aspergillaceae. The record is from RNAcentral.
ACUUUCAACAAUGAUCUCUUGGUUCCGGCAUCGAUGAAGAACGCAGCGAAAUGCGAUAACUAAUGUGAAUUGCAGAAUUCAGUGAAUCAUCGAGUCUUUGAACGCACAUUGCGCCCCCUGUAUUCCGGGGCAUGCCUGUCCGAGCGUCAUUGCUGCCCUCAAGCCCGCUUGUGUGUUGGGUCGCCGUCCCCCUCUCCGGGGACGGCCCGAAAGGCAGCGCGCACCGCGUCCAUCCUCGAGCGUAUGGCUUUGUCACAUGCUCUGUAGGAUUGCCGCGCCUGCCGACGUUUCCAACCAUUCUUUCCAGUUGACCUCGGAUCAGUAGGAUACCCGCUGAACUUAAGCAUAUCAAUAAGCGGAGGAAAGAAACCAACCGGAUUGCCUCAUAACGGCGAGUGAAGGCAAGAGCUCAAAUUUGAAAGCUGGCUCCUUCGAGUCCGCAUUGUAAUUUGCAGAGGAUGCUUUGGUGCGGCCCCCGUAAGUGCCCUGAACGGGCCGUCAGAGAGGUGAGAAUCCCGUCUGGCGGGUGUCCGUGCCCGUGUAAAGCUCCUUCGACGAGUCGAGUUGUUUGGAAUGCAGCUCUAAAUGGUGGUAAAUUUCAUCUAAAGCUAAAUACUGCCGAGACCGAUAGCGCACAAGUAGAGUGAUCGAAAGAUGAAAAGCACUUUGAAAAGAGAGUUAAACAGCACGUGAAAUUGUUGAAAGGAAGCGCUUGCGACCAGACUCGCCCGCGGGUUCAGCCGCAUUCGUGCCGUUUACCCCCGGGCGGCCAGCGUCGUUUGGCGCCGGUCAAAGGCCCCUGAAUGUAGUGCCCUCCGGGCACCUUAUAGCCAGGUGCAAUGCGGCCAGCCUGGACCGGAACGCGCUUCGCACGGACGCUGGCAUAAUGGUCGUAAACGACCCGUCUUGAAACACGACCAAGAGUCUAACAUCUACGCGAGUGUUCGGUGUCAAACCCGUGCGCGCAGUGAAAGCGAACGGAGGUGGAGCCCCCUUGCGGGCGCACCAUCGACCGAUCCUGAUGUCUUCGGAUGGAUUUGAGUAAGAGCGUAGCUGUGGGACCCGAAAGAUGGUGAACUAUGCCUGAAUAGGCGAAGCCAGAGGAAACUCUGUGAGGCUCGCAGCGGUUCUGACGUGCAAAUCGAUCGUCAAAUUUGGUAUAGGCGAAAGACUAAUCGAACCAUCUAGUAGCUGGUUCCUGCCGAAGUUUCCCUCAGGAUAGCAGUAACGCAAAAUCAGUUUUAUGAGGUAAAGCGAAUGAUUAGAGCAUUGGUUAAACAACCUUAACCUAUUCUCAAACUUUAAAUAUGUAAGAAAGCCCUUGUGCUUAGUUGAACGUGGCAUUAGAAUGAGCUUACUAGUGGCCAUUUUGUAAGCAGAACUGGCGAUGCGGAUGAACCGAACGCGAUUAAGUCCGGAAUGCACGCUCAUCAGACACCACAAAAGGUUAGUUCAUCUAGACAGCCCGACGUGCCAUGAAGUCGGAAUCCGCUAAGAGUGUGUAACAACUCACGGCCGAAUGAACUAGCCCUGAAAAUGGAUGGCGCUCAAGCGUGCUACCCAUACCUCGCCGUCGGGUAGAAACGAUGCCCCGACGAGUAGCAGGCGUGGGGUCCUGACGAAGCCUUGGAGUGAUCCCGGUCGAACGGCCCCUAUGCAGAUCUGGUGGUAGUAGCAAAUACUCAAAUGAACUUGGACUGAAGUGGGAAAGUUCCAUGUGAACAGCAGUUGACAUGGUUAGUCAUCCUAAGCAUAGGAAGUUCCGUUUGAAAGGCCCCUCGCGCCGUGUGCCGAAAGGAAGCCGGUUAACAUUCCGCACCUGGAUGGAUUCUCCACGGCAACGUAACUGAACGCGGAGACAUCGCGGGGUCCUGGAAGAGUUCUCUUUUCUUCUUGACGCCUAUCACCCUGAAAUCGGUUGUCCGAGCUAGGGUUCCACGCCGGCAGAGCCCUGCACCUUUGCAGGUCCGUGCGCCCCCGACGAUCCUUGAAAAUCCGCGGGAAGGAAUAGUUUUCACGCCAGGUCUACUCAUAACCGCAGCAGUCUCCAAGGUGAACAGCCUCUAGUUGAUAGAACAAUGUAGAUAAG